This 494-nucleotide ribosomal RNA is filed under the name uncultured bacterium. RNAcentral describes it as "partial 16S ribosomal RNA". It matches the Rfam family "Bacterial small subunit ribosomal RNA", at positions 28 to 507 of the family's 1533-position model. The record is from RNAcentral.
GACGAACGCUGGCGGCGCGCUUAACACAUGCAAGUCGAACGGAAAGGCCUGCUUUCCCUUGUGGAUUGCGGGUACUCGAGUGGCGAACGGGUGAGUAACACGUGAGUGAUCUGCCCCCAACUUGGGUAUAAGCCUGGGAAACUGGGUCUAAUUCCCGAUAGGACUGCAGGGUGGUGCCUGUGGUGGAAAACGAUUUUCUAGUGGUUGGGGAUGAGCUCGCGGCCUAUCAGCUUGUUGGUGGGGUAAUGGCCUACCAAGGCGGCGACGGGUAGCCGGCCUGGGAGGGUGGACGGCCACAUUGGGACUGAGAUACGGCCCAGACUCCUACGGGAGGCAGCAGUGGGGAAUAUGGCACAAUGGGCGGAAGCCUGAUGCAGCGACGCCGCGUGGGGGAUGACGGCCUUCGGGUUGUAAACUCCUUUCGGCCGCGAGGAAGCCACCUGGUUGGAAGGGUGGUGACGGUAGUGGUAGAAGAAGCACCGGCUAACUACGUG